UAUGCUAUUUGCUUCCAACCGCGCCUGCCUUUUAUUGCUACCAAACAAGGCUCCUUCCUCCAUUUUCUACUAACCCUAAUUAGUUGACCUCCAUCUUGAUUUUGUAUUAAUGUAUCCAUAUAUCCACUCCAUUUCAUCCAUCCAACUUAACAUCUUUAUGUUUCAAUAAAAAGUUACCAUCUUCUGUAUAUGUAUGUGAGCAAACCAUUAUUAACCAUUGGUUUAUAACAAUAU
Molecule: long non-coding RNA, 234 nt
Filed under: Carica papaya (papaya)
Lineage: Eukaryota; Viridiplantae; Streptophyta; Magnoliopsida; Brassicales; Caricaceae
Description: long non-coding RNA (CPAP_LNC006520)
Source: RNAcentral